This 332-nucleotide ribosomal RNA is filed under the name uncultured eukaryote. RNAcentral's name for it is "partial 18S ribosomal RNA". It matches the Rfam family "Eukaryotic small subunit ribosomal RNA", at positions 1470 to 1796 of the family's 1831-position model. The record is from RNAcentral.
CCCUUAGAUGUUCUGGGCCGCACGCGCGCUACACUGUUCGACGCAGCGAGUCUUAACCUUGACCGAAAGGUUUGGGUAAUCUUCAGCAAAGUCGAACGUGAUGGGGAUCGAUCAUUGCAAUUAUUGAUCGUGAACGAGGAAUUCCUAGUAAGUGCAAGUCAUCAGCUUGCGCUGAUUACGUCCCUGCCCUUUGUACACACCGCCCGUCGCUACUACCGAUUGAAUGGUUUAGUGAGAUCUCUGGAUUGACGCUGGCUAGGGGGCGACCCUCGGCCAGACUGCUCGAGAAACUGCUCAAACUUGAUCAUUUAGAGGAAGUAAAAGUCGUAACA